UCGGCGUGCACGCGCAUGCAGGACCAGGCACGUAACCGUUUGGAGACUGUCUGGAGUCUGUCUGAAAUAGAUAAAAUUGAAAAUGGACUUUUAGAUAUCUGUGUUCAUUUACAAGGAAGCCGCCUGUUGGAAAAUGGGAUCUUUGCUCUCCUCCUCGAGCGCCUUCGCCCACCAGUCGCCACGCUCUGGCAAAAAUGUAGAUUUUUUUUCUAGAUAAACGUUGUGAAAGUUUUUUCUUCUGCAGUCUAUCAGGAGACAGCUCUUUAUGCACAGGGAAUCACCCUUCAGCCCUGGAGUUCAAGAGGAGUGCACCAUCCAGAAGGCAGCCUACAAGAGCACAGAAAGGCCUGUCCCUAACCUGAACCAGUGUCUGACAAAAAAUGAUUGGAAAUGCAAUUAGAAAGGAGAGCCCUGGUUUCUUGAAGUCUGUCAUGCCUUCAUAUGUUUGACCCUGAAGUAUACCCGCCCAAAUGGUGCUGCAGUGAGUGAAUGCGAUUGCCUGAGGGAAAUAUCAGUCCGCUGCACACCAGCAUUUCCAGAGCUUGAGCUCCUGCCUGCAAUGCCAGUUCUGCAUGAUAUGAUGGACUGGCAGCUUCUUCUUAACAGCUCUAUUGCAAGGCACUCUACAUCCAAACUGCAGUGUGGAAAAUUUAAAGUGCAGGGAGCUAGCUGGUGUACUAGGAGGAAGAUGUCAUGCUAAGGAUGGGUUUUGGUGAUGAUGUUGCUACUGUUGAUGCAGCAUCGAGCUCUCACUUUGUGCCUCUGUCAGCUAUGAUCCGUAACCACAAAGUGAGUGACAGGCCAGUCCCUGGGGAAAGCAAGGGGGCCUGAGGUGAGUCAGUUGUAUCCUUGACCCUGUCUGGCUGUGUGUCAGCGAGCAACACAAACUCUGUAUAAAAAAAAAGAAAAAGAAAAAAAAAAAGGCCAAAACUGGCAUGACUGUACAUUGUACAUCUUUAUUUAGUAUGUAGAAGAAGAAUGUAGGAGAAACAGAACCAACCUGAGUUUUUCUGUUAAGUGGAUCCGUUUUGUUGUUGUUGCUAGACUCAUUUUGAAAUUAUAAUGAAGCGCACAUUACAAAUUGAUACCUUUGAUACCUUUGUGUGCAUUUCUCUUCCACCAGAGUGCUGAUGUUUUAAUCUUGGCUUUGUGAUGUUGUUACAGACCUGUUUUAGACAAACUCAGCACAAAUUUUGUAUACACUGUUUACUCCAGUGCAUUACAUAUGGCUUAAAUAACACAUUCAUGCAAGGAAACAUAAAUCUGUUCAUUACUGAGGGUAAAUUUUACUCAGGUUUGAAGUUGCAAAGUGGCAUAUUCACUCAAAUUAGCAUUUUGAUUUUUUUCACUUAAAAUAACUGAAGCUGAUGAUUGAGAAAAUCUUUAUUAAUAUAGCUGUUGUACAGGAUAUGUGGUCAAAUGGUAGAAAAAUGUUCCACUGUUAAUCAGCUGCAGCACUAGGUGUUGCAAUACUUAAAGAUGGUGUAACGUUUGUACACGAUGGACUCAAAAUGAGGGGCCUGGAAAAUGUUAUCCACAUCUCAGGAUUUCUUAUUAGAGCAAAUACCUGAUCAGUUUGAGAAGGUGUCCAAUUGAGAAGAAAUUUUUGAAUUUAUUGAAUUGCGAUAAAAUAUCUGUUUUAUUUCUGGCCUUUUUUUGUUAUAUUCAUGUACUGACAAAUUUAAAAAUAUAUAGAUUUUAGACUUUUAAUCAGAUAAAACUGUUAAUCUGAUGAUAAUGUUUAAGCAUUUUGUGUUUGGGGAUUUUGUGUAUCUAAUGUCUGAACAAUAAAUGAUCAAUGCAAAAUUUAAAGAAUAUAAUGAUGAUUAGUGAAAAUAAUUUUUGUAGUUGCUGCUUUUAGGUGUAAAUGUACAUUCAGAAAUUGAUAUCUGCAGAUGUUCCAAAAGAAAACAUUGUGUUUUGUGCCAUGCAAGAUAUUUGCUUCCACUUGCCAAAAAAGAUGACCCAUAAGACAUAUUAGGAAAUUAUUUUAAAAGUUGGUGUUUUUUUUUUAGUUCUAAAGUGCUUAUUGUAAUAUUUUGUAGCAGCAAUCAAAGACAAGAGUUCAUCCAAAGCCGUAGUCAGUGUUACACCAGACGCAUUCUGCAAAAGACAUGAUUCAACUUAAGGUGCAACUGCAAGAAAUGAUGUAUUUAUGUUAAAUUAAAUGUAAGAUAACUAUGACCGUAAUAUUAAAUAACUUUUUAUUAAUAAACAUUUCCUAUUCUGUAA
This is a long non-coding RNA of Maylandia zebra (zebra mbuna), 2232 nucleotides long. RefSeq lists it as uncharacterized. Lineage: Eukaryota; Metazoa; Chordata; Actinopteri; Cichliformes; Cichlidae. The record is from RefSeq and is a predicted model, not a curated record.